CAACUUAAGACCAACACACAUUCAACUAACUGCCAAGAAAAACAGCCGGAAAAGUGAAGACUGAAUCGUGAACAUGACCACUUCUGGGCCCCCGAGACGUGGCAGUAAGAAGCAAUUGACCUGAGGUGACUUCUUAAGAGUGCUGAGAGGAACUCUUCACAUUUGACUGAAGAAGAUACACAUAUGCUGAGAC
Molecule: long non-coding RNA, 193 nt
Organism: Colossoma macropomum (tambaqui)
Lineage: Eukaryota; Metazoa; Chordata; Actinopteri; Characiformes; Serrasalmidae
Exons: 3
Source: RefSeq, a predicted model, not a curated record